GUUCUCGGGAGAGGCGAGCAGACGCAGAUAGAAAUUUGUAUUUAAAAAAAGAAAAAAAAAAUGAAGAAAGAACAAAAGCGGCGCUGCGGAAUCCCUUUCAUGAGCCGGCGCGUUGAAAGGCGAACUCGGGCGUGCAGUCGACGGGGGAGGGGAGUGAACAACCGCCGUGCUCUUAAGGAGCACGUUCCGCGUCCGUGUUGAAAACAAAAUGUUGACGCGAGCAUGCAGUAAGUCUUCGGAAUCCAGAAAUCGCUCGGUUCGCCACCCCCGCAAUAGCGGCAAUUUGCGAAGUAGCGACCACAUAUUUGAACAUAUUAAAGCUGCGUGAACUUCCCCCUCCUCCUGUUAUUCUUCCCAACGCUGCGAUUAAUCUCGACCAUGCACUCCUGAACACUUUGUAUAAUCCACAGUGGUACAUUUUCUUCCUUGUGAAAUGAGAUAUGCUAUAUGAGAUAAUAUGCCUCCAUGUCAAGUUCAGAGCUGACGAGUCCUGGGUAGAGUGUGCCGUUCUACUCCAAUGGAAUCACUUGUGUUUACAUGACCUUUGACCUCCACUUUUCCCUUCCGUCCCGUUCAAUCGGCGUUUGCGUUCUUUAUUUUCGCCUGUAAGUCCGUCACGGGUACGUUUAGUCGUGCGUUUCACUCGAUGCCGGCGUACUCACCGCCGCCACCGAGCGCCAACGCGUUGCUCGGCCCCGUUUGCGGCGUGAUGAAAAACGAAGAUGGCGCCAAAAUUAUUUGCUGACGGCUGGCACUUCUCGUGUUACUGUUACAUUUUUUUUUUUUUUUUGAAGCGAUGCCAAUCAUGUCAGCAAUGGCGAGACUUGCUCAAAAGCUGAUAUUGUCAAAUAAAUUAGCAAUUGCGGUUCUAUCAUAGCGCGCUCUUCGUUUUGGCGCGCGACUCGAUCGCGCGUCCUCCGCGCUCCGAAGCGAGCCGGCGCGGCGCUAAUGUGCCUUUAAAGCGUAUUAAAAGGUUUGAAGGGCCGCACUCAGCGGGGACACCGACGCCGCUCGUAAUCUCAAUUAUUGAUGCCGCGCUCUGAGCGGGCACGACGUCGCUCGCUCUCGCUCUCUCAGAACAAACAACAAAAAAAAAAAAAACCAAAAAAAAAGAAAAGUCUCCGGACGGCUUUGGUGUUCCGACGAGGGUUCUGUCUGGGAAUGUUCCUGGACGGACGCCGAUGUCCGUCUUUGGGUUUCAAGUUGCUUCCUUCUUUCCAUCCAUUUCUGCUUCUCUUUGCGCUUCCUUUCAUACGGCGCCUCUCCUUCUUUUCAAGCUCCCGUACUUCCUUUCUUUCUUCCUCGGGUCCUUCCUUCUCUCCUUCGCGUGAGUCCGUCGGGCCGAAGACGGCGCGAAUCGCCAACCUGUAAUUGCCUGAGCCGAGCAGCAAGCGGAUUUUUAUGGGGGGCCUUCCGGUCCUUUCUUGUGUGUUUGGGUUUUUUUUUGGGGGGGGUUUCUUUUAUCUAUUAUUUUUUUCAGCGUCGUAAUGAAAAGAUGGCUGGGUGGCAAACCGCAGCAACGCCGCCGCGCUCGCUUGGGAGAAGAGAGCGCCAUCCAGGAAAAACAUUGUUAAUUACGGUUGACAGGUAUCUAUUAGAGCGCAUUCUUAGACCUCGGAGGCCCGAUCACGAUCUCAGCUGUGGCCCGGGUUGAUCCGAGUGGAUUUACGCCACGCGGUCGUCGUUUAACGCCAAAUAUCGUCACGUUGUGUUACAGGUACUCCUCGUACAUGUUUUGGGAUUUUGGCUCUCGUUUUCAAGCAGGUGUAGAAAGUCCAAAUAUUUGAAAACCAGGAAAGGUGGAUGUGAAAUCUCGGUCCAAAAGUGGAAGGGGUGUUGAAGAAGGACAGGAAGUGACGCGUGGAGGAGGAGUUGAGAGACCGAGAGAGAAAGAAAGCGGGAGGAAGUGGAAGUGCGAGUGGUCGUUUGAAGAAAAGAAAAGUUAAAGGCGGACAUUUAGCAACACUGAUCAACGUGUUCGACAAGGACUGUUGACAGUUUAGUUGUGAUCGUGUGUCGUUUGAGUGGACUACUCAAAUCACGCCGUAACGUGGUGGAGUUAGCCGCUAAUGCAGAGGCUAAGCGGAUGCACGGGACUUUGCCAGGACGCUAGCGACAAGCUAACCCGAAGCCAGCGAGGCCCGUGUUGGAUCACGAGGAAGAAGACGAGGACGCUAGCGACGAGCAGACGCUAGCGAAGCCUGCAUUGGCGCAACAGGAAAAAGCUUCGCAACGGAUCGGACCGUGAGGACUUGGGUGAGGCCGGACCAUUGGACCCAACCCUCGACGUUCGUCAGUCCUGCCGCUUGGAACACUGCAGGGACCUCGGGGUUUGAAUUUAUUUUAUUUUAUUUUGCCGGCUACGUUCAUAUUUGUAUGGGCCCGUAAGUUAGGCUAGCUUAGCUCACGUGUGCAUUGCGUACCUCUUAUGUUGACUUUAUUUGAAUGAGUGUUUGUUUUGUAUACAUGUGUGAUUAAAUGUUCACAUUUUUUGUUACAUAA
Molecule: long non-coding RNA, 2502 nt
Organism: Syngnathoides biaculeatus (alligator pipefish)
Lineage: Eukaryota; Metazoa; Chordata; Actinopteri; Syngnathiformes; Syngnathidae
Exons: 2
Source: RefSeq, a predicted model, not a curated record